CGCUGGCGGCGCGUUUAAGCAGUGCAAGUCGAGCGGCAAGGGCCUUCGGGCCCCUAGAGCGGCGGACGGGGUGAGUAACACGUGGACAAUCUGCCCCCCGGCCCGGGAUAGCCCAGGGAAACCUGGAUUAAUACCGGAUGAGACGGGACCCGCGAUGGCGGGAUCCGGGAAAGGCGCUGCGGCGCCGCCGGGGGAUGAGUCUGCGUCCCAUUAGCUAGACGGCGGGGUAACGGCCCACCGUGGCGACGAUGGGGUAGCCGGCCUGAGAGGGUGGACGGCCACAUUGGAACUGAGACACGGUCCGGACUCCUACGGGAGGCAGCAGCUAAGAAUCUUCCGCAAUGGGCGAAAGCCUGACGGAGCCGACGCCGCGUGAACGAAGAAGGCCGUGAGGUUGUAAAGUUCUUUUCGGGAGGGGGAACAACCGUGGCAGGGAAUGGCCGCGGGAUGACGUGAAUCCCGGAAUAAGCCCCCGGCUAACUACGUGCCAGCCGCUGC
RNAcentral lists this ribosomal RNA (498 nucleotides) under uncultured bacterium. RNAcentral's name for it is "bacterial SSU rRNA". It matches the Rfam family "Bacterial small subunit ribosomal RNA", at positions 34 to 518 of the family's 1533-position model. The record is from RNAcentral.